Molecule: non-coding RNA, 90 nt
Organism: Mycena latifolia
Lineage: Eukaryota; Fungi; Basidiomycota; Agaricomycetes; Agaricales; Mycenaceae
Source: the annotation of a GenBank genome assembly
UUGGGCGUGGUGUAUGGAACACCGCGGGCAUUCUUACUGUUCUCGUCAUGAACUAACUCGCAGUCCGGGGUUCGACUCCCCGCGUCCGAA